GCGUAGCUCAGUCGGUAGAGCAACUGACUUUUAAUCAGUAGGUCAUGGGUUCGAAUCCCAUCGCG
RNAcentral lists this transfer RNA (65 nucleotides) under uncultured Gellertiella sp. It matches the Rfam family "tRNA", at positions 5 to 66 of the family's 71-position model. From Rfam's summary of the family: Transfer RNA (tRNA) molecules are approximately 80 nucleotides in length. The record is from RNAcentral. Lineage: Bacteria; Pseudomonadati; Pseudomonadota; Alphaproteobacteria; Hyphomicrobiales; Rhizobiaceae.